GGAGCAAACGAAGUGAAGCAUGUUAUUUAAUACGAAAGUACGCGUAAAAUCUUACCAGUUCUUGCAUAGCCAAUCCCUCUUAUUUAUUUAGAUAAAAGCUACUCACUACUCCCUCCUUUACUUUUUCCUUUGCUAUGCAGAAAUCUAAGCAAAGGUGGGAUGGUGGGAGAAGAUUUUUCUUUUAAAUUUAAGACUGGAUUGAGUGAUAAUUAUUUAUUAAUAAGUUUUUUUCCCUUUUCUUGUUUCUUCUCUAUCUAUAUAUACACCUUCGCUU
RNAcentral lists this ribosomal RNA (274 nucleotides) under Hebeloma sinapizans. RNAcentral's name for it is "partial small subunit ribosomal RNA". Lineage: Eukaryota; Fungi; Basidiomycota; Agaricomycetes; Agaricales; Hymenogastraceae. The record is from RNAcentral.